GGGUGUCACGCUGCAUUCCGCAGACGACAGGACUAACGUUGGUCGGGCCGCCAACG
RNAcentral lists this non-coding RNA (56 nucleotides) under unclassified sequences. RNAcentral's name for it is "Li+-I sequence". It matches the Rfam family "nhaA-I RNA". From Rfam's summary of the family: Acidobacteria, Alphaproteobacteria, Betaproteobacteria and Gammaproteobacteria, Verrucomicrobia, cand. division NC10. Downstream gene The record is from Rfam by way of RNAcentral.